UAGGGGGCAGGGUGGGUGAUAGAAAAGCUAUGAGUACAAAAGCUAUAAGGCUUUGAGGUUAAUGGACAUUAGGAAUGAAUUAAUAUUCAUCAUGUGUGCAUUAGUAUUCAAGUAUCUUAAAUACGUUUAUGUGGCUAAAAUUCUCCUUCAGUUGAUCACUGACGGACUCUCGCUCGCUCGCCCUGUAAUGUUGCUAUGGUGACCAGUAUGCCUCUGAGCUAAUGAGUGAAUCCGAUUGGGUCAGGUGUAAUUUGCUAUGUGCAGCGUAACCAUCUGAGGAACCAACUAUAUAUAUAUUAAUGUAUUCUUUUCAUUUUAUUUCUACAGACGUUUAGAGACGGAUUUGUAUCCUCUGGGAUCCAGCUACGUCACUGACAUUGACGGUGUCCAUGAUAUAACAGUCGGCACAAAGGUACGUCCUGCCCCGUCGCUGUAUCGUUACUAUAGUAACAGCUCAUUGACAGGGACUUGUACGGAGGACGCUCCGCUAUGACGUAUUUGUCACAGUGUGAUUGUUGAUGUGAAGUUUUAUUAAAAUAAGGAGAAAUGUGUUUACCGUGUAUGGAAGGAGUCUCCAGUGUCAGCGCUUUAACAGUCAGAGGUAACGCUGUAACUAAGUUUUCCCACAUCUUCAGGACAGAGGAGUUUAUAGGAAUAAAAAGUAUGAUGAUCUUUAAUAAAACACUCAGGGAUGUGCUGUUAGGAAAAUAAUCAACCCCACAUCAUCAGACCAGCUCAGUGUUUAUUACGUAAUUAUUCUCCAGUUAUAAUCUGUAGUUUAUCAGCUUUUGCAUCAGUGUGACUGUUUAAUUCUAUUACAAUUAAAGUAAAAGCAGUGUUUAAGGUUUAUAAACUUUAAAGUGGGGGGGGGGGGGGGGGCAUUGUGCUUCUGGUUACCUUCAAAUAGGGAAAAUAAAUAAGAGCUGGAAGCCGGCGGGGUAUGGCAUUCCUCAGAGCGGCAUGGAGCUCCAGCGCUCGCUCAGAUCCGCUCUCGUCCAUUGUUCAGGAGCAGCUGUGUUUCCUUCCUCUGAGGAUCUCAGCCAUGUUUCCUGCUCCAGUGUGAGAGACCUCACAAGACAAUCACAUCACCGGCCUGAAAGACGUUUAUACGAUAUACCAUACACGUCAGUGUUUAGAUUCACGCCUUAAAAAAAACUGCAAGGAAAAACUGAGUAGUGGGUUUAUUUAAUGUCUUCUAAAAAGUCAAAUAUAAUUAAAAUAACUUUUAACUCUGAAAAGGAGGAGAAAAGACUUAAACUGAACCUAAAAUUCAACGUAUAGUGUGUAUUUAAAAAAAAAAAAAAGGUAAAAAAAAUUUUUGUAUAGACCUGUGAGUAACAGACUAAUAAUUUUAAUUCCUUCACAACCGAGGAAAACAGUAGAAAGUUUAAAUUAAAAUGAUAUUUAACACCCCCAAAAACCCACUCGCUUCCUUAUACAUGUGAUUUAUAAGUGAUUAUAUUGUAAAUGACACAAGAUUUCUCUCUCUUUAGGGUUUGCAGGUCUUUAUUCGCUUUACCUUUUAGUGUCCCCUGUUCCCAGAACUCAACUUUAAAUGACAAUAAUGAAGAAUAAUUAAUACACAGCUGAAAU
Long non-coding RNA from Ictalurus punctatus (channel catfish), 1593 nucleotides. The record is from Ensembl. NCBI's taxonomy places the organism in Eukaryota, Metazoa, Chordata, Actinopteri, Siluriformes, Ictaluridae.